GCCUAGCCCUAAACAAAGGUGUUGGUUUUACACCUAUCCCUUGCCGGGGGACUACGAGCCCCAGCUUAAAACCCAAAGGACUUGGCGGUGCUUUAUACCCACCUAGAGGAGCCUGUUCUAGAACCGAUAACCCCCGUUAAACCUCACCCUCUCUUGUUUUCCCCGCCUAUAUACCGCCGUCGUCAGCUUACCCCUUGAGGGGAACACAGUAGGCAAAAAUGGUAGAACCUAAAACGCCAGGUCGAGGUGUAGCGUACGAGAGGGGAAGAAAUGGGCUACAUUCACUGACACAGUGAACUACGGACGAUACCUUGAAAAAAUAUCCAAAGGAGGAUUUAGCAGUAAGGGGGAAAUAGAGUGUCCCCCUGAAACUGGCCAUGAAGCGCGC
Molecule: ribosomal RNA, 388 nt
Filed under: Tasmanogobius lasti (lagoon goby)
Lineage: Eukaryota; Metazoa; Chordata; Actinopteri; Gobiiformes; Gobiidae
Description: partial 12S ribosomal RNA
Rfam family: Bacterial small subunit ribosomal RNA
Source: RNAcentral